This 302-nucleotide ribosomal RNA is filed under the name uncultured bacterium. RNAcentral describes it as "partial 16S ribosomal RNA". It matches the Rfam family "Bacterial small subunit ribosomal RNA", at positions 508 to 808 of the family's 1533-position model. The record is from RNAcentral.
GCAGUCGCCGCGGUAAUACGAAGGGUGCAAGCGUUACUCGGAAUUACUGGGCGUAAAGCGUGCGUAGGUGGUGGUUUAAGUCCGUUGUGAAAGCCCUGGGCUCAACCUGGGAAUUGCAGUGGAUACUGGGUCACUAGAGUGUGGUAGAGGAUAGUGGAAUUUCCGGUGUAGCAGUGAAAUGCGUAGAGAUCGGAAGGAACAUCUGUGGCGAAGGCGACUAUCUGGGCCAACACUGACACUGAGGCACGAAAGCGUGGGGAGCAAACAGGAUUAGAUACCCCUGUAGUCCCUGUCUCUAUACA